AGUUGCGAAGGCGGCUCUCUGGACUGUAACUGACGCUGAGGCACGAAAGCGUGGGGAGCAAACAGGAUUAGAUACCCUGGUAGUCCACGCUGUAAACGAUGAGUACUAGGUGUCGGGGGUUACCCCCCUCGGUGCCGCAGCUAACGCAUUAAGUACUCCGCCUGGGAAGUACGCUCGCAAGAGGGAAACUCAAAGGAAUUGACGGGGACCCGCACAAGUAGCGGAGCAUGUGGUUUAAUUCGAAGCAACGCGAAGAACCUUACCUAAGCUUGACAUCCCAAUGACAUCUCCUUAAUCGGAGAGUUCCCUUCGGGGACAUUGGUGACAGGUGGUGCAUGGUUGUCGUCAGC
Molecule: ribosomal RNA, 350 nt
Filed under: Clostridioides difficile
Lineage: Bacteria; Bacillati; Bacillota; Clostridia; Peptostreptococcales; Peptostreptococcaceae
Description: bacterial SSU rRNA
Rfam family: Bacterial small subunit ribosomal RNA
Source: RNAcentral